Oncorhynchus gorbuscha (pink salmon) is the source of this 750-nucleotide long non-coding RNA. RefSeq lists it as uncharacterized. Lineage: Eukaryota; Metazoa; Chordata; Actinopteri; Salmoniformes; Salmonidae. The transcript has 7 exons. The record is from RefSeq and is a predicted model, not a curated record.
CCUUGUUGUUAUGGUAACUAUGCCUGUCCAGUGAGCAGAGGUUGAGGUUGCGCAAAGUCAAAAUAUAACAGACACUUUUUUCCUGCUUUUUCAGAUGCCUCGGGGGGAGAGGAGGAGAGAGAACCGGAGAAAGAGGAGGAGAAACAGCCCAAAGGAGAAGAAAGGAAAGAAGAGGAAACAGGAACCCGUUCCGGCUAAGAAGAAGACUGCACUGAAAUCACAGGAGUGAUUUGUGGCUCAGGAGAAGAAAGUUGAUGAGGGCGAGAAAAAGACCAAGAACAAGAGAUAGGUAACGAGUGGAGGACAGAGGAGCCUCUUAAAGAAGAAGUUACAGAUGUGUACUUGGGUAUAACUUAAUAGUCUGGUGUUGGCUUCCCCUCCUCAUCUCCUCUUCUUCAUCUGACUGACCUGUGGAGGAAGUUAAAAGAGUAGAGGAGCAGCUGAAGCUUGAGGUGACAUGCAUUGGGGAGGGAACACCAGGGAGACUGAAAGCCCUCCUAGGGAAAGGGUUUUAACCCCAGUUUGGCCUUGCCAGCGCUGCGCUUCCUGCUUCUGAACUGGAAUUGGAGGGACCAGAAGCCUCGCAUGAUGGUGGACAUCCCUGAUGUCCAAACUGAUUUGCUGAAGCUGCUGGAUACAGGCAUCUUGAAAGGCUGUAGAGAAGGAAACACAAACACACACCCAACCAUUUAGAACGGGACCUCUUCUGCUCUCACACAAACACACACACCACAGUUAUUGUAGUAAACA